Molecule: non-coding RNA, 65 nt
Organism: Dipodomys ordii (Ord's kangaroo rat)
Lineage: Eukaryota; Metazoa; Chordata; Mammalia; Rodentia; Heteromyidae
Source: Rfam
GGUGGCUCAAUGGUAGAGCACUUGCCUUGCAUGCAUAAGGCCCUGGGUUCGAUUCCUCAGCACCA